Long non-coding RNA from Cucumis sativus (cucumber), 371 nucleotides. RefSeq lists it as uncharacterized. The record is from RefSeq and is a predicted model, not a curated record. Lineage: Eukaryota; Viridiplantae; Streptophyta; Magnoliopsida; Cucurbitales; Cucurbitaceae. The transcript has 4 exons.
GGCUAAGUUGAAGAGCCCGCUUCCACCUAGGUCUCCCUCUUCUAACCCACUUAAGCGGAAGGUAUGAAGACCGUUCCUGAGAAUUCCAUCUCUGGAUUGUCUGAUUCGGGUAUGAAGGUGGUAGUGCGCUUGCUGCCGCCAUCCAAGGACGGAGAUGAAGGGGAUAAUAUAAUACAAAAGGUUAUGUGUCGAUGAAGUUAGCGGACAGUGGGCAGAUGCAGAUGAAUUCUUUAAUGAGGAACAGGCUAUGUGAAAGAGACCAGGCUAUUCGCAAACUGGAAAGGGAAAUAGAAGAUAAAGAUAGGGAAUUGCAAUCAAUUAAAUUAGACAACGACGCAGCUUGGGCCAAGGAUGAUCUUCUGCGGGAACAA